UACGUAGGGACCGAGCGUUGUCCGGAUUUAUUGGGCGUAAAGAGCUCGUAGGCGGCUGUCCACGUCGGGUGUGAAAGCUCGGGGCUCAACCCUGAGAGGCCAUUCGAUACGGGACGGCUUGAGGCAGCUAGGGGAGAUUGGAAUUCCUGGUGUAGCGGUGAAAUGCGCAGAUAUCAGGAGGAACACCGGUGGCGAAGGCGGAUCUCUGGGGCUGUUCUGACGCUGAGGAGCGAAAGCUGGGGGAGCGAACAGG
RNAcentral lists this ribosomal RNA (253 nucleotides) under uncultured bacterium. Its description in RNAcentral is "partial 16S ribosomal RNA". It matches the Rfam family "Bacterial small subunit ribosomal RNA", at positions 524 to 776 of the family's 1533-position model. The record is from RNAcentral.